This 542-nucleotide long non-coding RNA is filed under the name Monodelphis domestica (gray short-tailed opossum). RNAcentral's name for it is "lncRNA (ENSMODG00000037267.1)". The record is from RNAcentral. Lineage: Eukaryota; Metazoa; Chordata; Mammalia; Didelphimorphia; Didelphidae.
AAAAUAAAUAAGACUUUCCCUUAUUUUUAUCUUUGUUGUUGUUCACUUGUGUCUGAUUCUUCAUGACCCCAUUUGGGGUUUUCUUGGCAAAGAUACUAGAAUGGUCUGUCAUUUUUAUUUUCCAGAUGAGGAAACUGAGGCAAACAGAUUAGGUGACUUGCCCAAGAUCAUACAGCCACUGCAUUUAUAUUUUAAAGAAUUGAAGCAAUUGCUAUGUGGAACAUUUCCCAAGACACCUUUCUACCUGGUACAAGUCCUCAGAGAUCAGUGUAAUACUCAAUCCAAUCCACUUGCUAUAACUCUAGUGGAUUCUCCUUGGGAGCAAAGAACAGCAAAGUUCAGUCUUCAAAUGGAAGCAGUUAAGUGGGAAGAACUGUGACAAGGGAAUCACUUUAAAAGACUGAUAUAUAUUAAUUUAAGGUCGCCAAGGAAUUCAGCUAUGUAAUUCCUAAAUGAAAACUCAAGUCAGCAGUAAAUCUUUUAUGGAGUUUAAUUACAAUAGGAGUAAGAAAGGAAUUAGAGAUAGAGAGAGAGAAAAAGGG